AAGCCCAUGACAUGGGCAUAAUCUCAACAAAAUUUUAUAACGCUCUCAUGUGUCAAAUAAGGACUCUCCAUCCUCUGGCCUAAAAUUGUUGAUUUCAUUCCUCACUU
Molecule: small nucleolar RNA, 107 nt
Organism: Vicia villosa (hairy vetch)
Lineage: Eukaryota; Viridiplantae; Streptophyta; Magnoliopsida; Fabales; Fabaceae
Source: RefSeq, a predicted model, not a curated record